CGAAGGGUGCAAGCGUUACUCGGAAUUACUGGGCGUAAAGCGUGCGUAGGUGGUUUGUUAAGUCAGAUGUGAAAGCCCUGGGCUCAACCUGGGAACUGCAUUUGAUACUGGCAGGCUAGAGUGCGGUAGAGGAUAGCGGAAUUCCUGGUGUAGCAGUGAAAUGCGUAGAGAUCAGGAGGAACAUCCGUGGCGAAGGCGGCUAUCUGGGCCAGCACUGACACUGAGGCACGAAAGCGUGGGAGCAAACAGGAUU
RNAcentral lists this ribosomal RNA (253 nucleotides) under uncultured bacterium. RNAcentral's name for it is "partial 16S ribosomal RNA". It matches the Rfam family "Bacterial small subunit ribosomal RNA", at positions 526 to 779 of the family's 1533-position model. The record is from RNAcentral.